Molecule: long non-coding RNA, 4424 nt
Organism: Pecten maximus
Lineage: Eukaryota; Metazoa; Mollusca; Bivalvia; Pectinida; Pectinidae
Exons: 4
Source: RefSeq, a predicted model, not a curated record
UCUAUUUUAAUUAUUUUUUUCUAAAAUCAACACUGGUACCGGGUUCGCGUAUGCACACUGAAUUGGAAACCAAACCAAAGACUGAUGAUCAGCCAAGGUGUCCAUGUUUCAGGAACAGAGAACUCUUUCCCCCUCUGUCUUCCCGAUAUCGGGUCAAGCGAGCAUUUUGAAAGCCUUCCGGAUCUCGAGACCGAUGUCUAUUCAGAGAUGCACUCCAAUGUUACGGGGUUGUUCAGGCAUGGACUGGAAUUGUCCGUAGGUGUGACCAAACAGCUGCCCCGGGACAUGCAGUUCCGUGAGAAUGUUGAAGAGGACCACAUGGUGCGGUGUCAGCGUCAAAUCAACGAUUGGUACCCAGUGUCUUACUAGAUACGUUACACUAGUCGAAGCGAAGAAUGCCUAUGAUGGAAGAAGAGUGACUGAUGUCAUCGAUUUGUGUGAUAACGCCAUAUUGGUGGCCAUAUUGGGGGUCAUGUUAGUGGCAUCUGGAUUUGUUGACUUUCACGUCUUAUUUACGAUCAGUUGUGGUAGAAGUGACCUUGACUUUAUAUUUAUAUAUGUACCCAGGUGAUCAGUUAGUGAUACUGAUAUGUAAACUUUUUUCUAUUCUCUAUUGAUCAGCUUUGUUUAAUGAAGGUUGUAUGCCAACCACUAAUAUGAGCAUUUGAAUACAUUGAACCUUACCUGACUGUUCAACUUAUACUUUGAUAAUCGUCUGAAUCUGAAGAAAAUAUACCUUCAUGAAGGAUCAGUAGUUAAAAAUCAUUGUUGACAACAGAAGAAGAAGUUUUCGAAAGCUCGCAAACUAUAGUAGAAGAUGAAUAUGUUGACCUGUCAUUAAUACUGAUAAAUCGUAUCCCCUACCAUGGAAUGAAAGACAUUUAUUUCUCUAUUCCUUAACCAUAAAACAGGACGGUGAACCACAAAUAAUACACCCGGAUUUGUGUUAGUGGUGUACUCACCCUGAUGACGAGUAUAUAUAAAUCAAAGAUAAUAAAAUUUUGUCUUGCAUAAUUCUUUAUUGAUCUCAAUAUAUUUGAUAAAACAUAUGACGAUGUAAUAUUACAUAAGAUAUAAACAUAGUUUUGAACCUAUCUGUUGUUUAUACAAACAACACAAGUUUGGUAUUACUCAUAGGUAGGAAUUUAAGAACACCAGUGGAGGUGACGUGAUUUUGUGAUAACCCUUGCACAUUGCAGGUCAGUUUAGUGUCUGCGCAUUGUAACGUAGAUAACGUUCAGGAAGUAUAUUUCUACUUCAGUUCUCUCUAUCAGGAGGUCAAAGACUUAAAACAUUAAACGACACGACUGUUGAUCUAAUAAAGUCGGCAAAUGCAGGGCGCACCGUUGAAAACAAGACAUGUUUAAAAAAACAAUAUCUGAUUCUUCGAAAUGGCUCGGAUGUUAAAACCUUCGAUUCUUCAAAUCAGUAUUCUUCACAAAUCUGUGGCCCGAUGUUACACACAAAUAGUGACGACAUUGUUUACCUUUAAUUUUGAUUUGUUAUUGAUAUUUAAGUUAUAUAACAUGAUAAUUGACAUAUUGACGUAUCAAAUGAAUGAAAUGUAUCGAAGAGAAUUGGACACACAAUCAUCAGUAGACUAUUUGAUUUAACUGAUAUCUUGUACAUUUACAUUUCUAUUGUAUCGAAGUUAUUUGCCCCUAAGGACAUGGAUACACCGUUACAAUGCCGAAGAGAGAUAUAUUGUGCCUCUGGACAAUUUUACCUUUAAUUUCGAUUUGUUGAUGAAUCACCACUUUAAAUUACAGAAACAUAGGGUAUACGUGUAUUCUAUAAUACGGUAUUAAACUAAGUUAUACAGGAAAGCCUUCAGAAACAAAAGCAAACUGCAUCUUAUUUGGUUUGAUAAAUUAACUAUUUUGACAUCAAUAUAAACUUAUGUUUGUAUAUUAUCAACGAUAUCAAUAUAGAAAAAUAACGAGAUUUGGAAUGUCAGUUUAGUUUUCAUCAAUUCGAAUAUCGUAUCUGACCGAAACAUACUUAAAAGUAUCGCGAAAAUUCUCUUUCAGGUGAAAUGGCAUGGCUUCCAUACCUGGCCGCGAAAAAAACGUGUAAAAUCCUUACUUUUGCAACUUAAUUCUUUCAGUGUGAGGCUUUUAGCCAGAAUGGCAGUGGUUAAGAACGUAUAGACUUUCAGAAAAAAUAACAUGACAUAAUGACAACUUUUAGAUUCCUACCCAAACAAACAGACAAUGAGAGAAAGACAAACGCUCCGAACAAUACUUCACAGUGACUUACUAAGUUCGAGGAAGACCACUUGGAUACAUAAACAAAAGAAUGGAAACAAUAUUAAGACAUGUGUCUAUAUGUCAUCAUUUUUCAUCAGUGAGAAAUGUUUGAACCUACACAGUUCAUUACACCUGUUAUGUAUGGCAUGGUAUAUGUGUGGACUACAUCACGACUAGGAACCAAAUUGUCAUAUUUCCUUGAAAACAAGGGAAACAAUGAAUCGAAUUUCCUUACAACUAGGGCAACCUAUUGAUAUUAUCAUAAAAAGACAACUUACUCUGUGGUUGUUUAAAAUGACGUGUUACAAUAAUCUAUCCACAAAAUCAGAAAUAUAUGUUUUAGGAUCGGCAAUUACUUCAGAAUUAUACUCAUAUAAUACGGGUAUAUACAUUAAUAUUUGUACAUGUAUAUACUUCUUAAAUCUUAAAUUUUAAGGAAAAUUCAUUGUAUUUCGUAAUAACCAAACUUACCAAAUAAAAUAAACCCCACUACCGGAAAUAACGUGUAACCUACAGAUAAUUUCCUUUUAUGAUUCAUAUAUAUGUUUAAAUCUGAAGAGUAAAUGUUUGUCAUCUUUCUUUGAAAAACAUAAUUUGUUAUUUUGAAUUCUAUAUUUGCUAUUCCGAUAUGUACAUUUUGUAUAUCCUACGUUUUUGUUUAGUCUAUCUUAUCAUACAUAGCGACUAUGUUGUCAUUGUCAUACUAUCAUAAUGUUAAGGUAUUAACUAUAUACCGUUAUUAAACACAUCGGACAAAAACAGAUUUCUGCAUUAAUUAUGACGUCACAACAUCAUAGUAUUACACUAAUUUUGAUGUCAGAUAGGAUGAAGUUUGGAGUCAAAAUAUCGUCAUUUUGGAUUUCAUAUCAGUUUGAGACAAUCUUUCUGAAUGUUUGGAAAAUUAUAUUUUAUGAUGUUAAAAACGUUCAUUGUGAGACUUAUUUAGACUGAAUAGAUCCCCGUUAAAAUGAUCAUUUUCAAACUGGCUUCCUGAUGCCCCAUGGAAUCGAAACUGACAUAAGAUCAAAUAUUUUGCUACAUCUACAAAUUCAAUUUUAGAAUCCGUAUUGCUGUGAACCUCAGCGCCACAUUGAUGUACCCAAUAAAUACAGAACAUCAGUGUUUGAGCAAACAUACAGAAAAGAAAACCAAAUAUCUCUACACCAUGUCAUAUCUAUCAAAUAAAACAACGGCCAUAUCAAUAGGCCCACACAAGCAUGUUUAUUGGCCAAUUGUUCAGACAUUUAAGCCCUAUUUCUUCUCCUCAAAGUGUUAUCUACGUUGUUUGUUAUAUUUAUUUUAUGACACAAGUUCGGUUUGCAUACCUGUACCAUAAGGAUUUUUACCUGUAGUUCCCCAGUCUUUAUCUGUCCUUGUCUGUAUGGCUAAUGGAUAACACGCCGAUAAGCCCCACAGUGUAUGUAUUGAUAUUAUUAUCAACGUAGGAACGACAGGACGGCACAAGGGACUUCCUUUUCUUUCUCCCUAGGGUUUCUAUUGAUUCUGGUUGGGGUCCAGCCAUCAGGUCACUGUGGUAGAGGGGACACUAGUUUACCAAGUAUACCUACCUUUGCGCAUGCAAGUAGUGCCACAGGAAUCCGGUCUAUAACAAGACUUUUAACGUACAAACAAAUACACGUAGGAGUUUAAUGCUAUCGGUACCUCCGGUGUUCACAAAUGGAGCCUUGAGAAUUCGGUACAGUAAAGGAUGUGGGAAAGUUGAAUAGGACGUUUAAAACUAGAUUUUAUUGGAUGUUAUACCGGACGUAAUUUAUUAAGGAAAGAAAACAUCAAUCACCUGGUGGAAAAUAUCAUAAUUACAGACUUUACCUGUCCUCAUAGCUCCGAAUGUUACACGUGUGUACCGUUAAUUAUUUACGUUAUAUCAGUUAUCUGAUACUUUCUAGUUAUGGAACUGAACAGUAUAAAUGUACAAUGUUUACUCUAUAUUGCUUAGUGGUGUUAAAUAAUAAAUAGCAAUGAAAACAAAUCAAUAUCACUUAAAUUUAAUUUGUAUCAGAACUGUGUACGUACCUUUACUAAUACCAUCACAACGUGUCUUGUCUUGACGGAUCGAUUUUGAAAAUCAAUAUUACAUGAUUGCACUGUUAUUUUAUGUUAUAUUCAAUUAUCAGUUAUAGACUUCUAUUGAUGUGAAUAUGAGGUUAUGUGAAC